AGAGUUUGAUCAUGGCUCAGGAUGAACGCUGGCGGCAUGCCUAAUACAUGCAAGUCGAACGGGGAAGAGCAAUCUUCCCAGUGGCGAACGGGUGAGUAAAGCGUAGACAACCUGUCUUCAAGACGAGGAUAACGGCUGGAAACGGCUGCUAAUACUGGAUAGGAUAAGUAGUCGCAUGGCAACUUAUUUAAAGGCGGGUCACGCCGCUUGAAGAGGGGUCUACGUCGCAUUAGCUAGUUGGUGUGGUAACGGCGCACCAAGGCGACGAUGCGUAGCUGUGCUGAGAGGCAGGACAGCCACACUGGGACUGAGACACGGCCCAGACUCCUACGGGAGGCAGCAGUAGGGAAUUUUCGGCAAUGGGGGCAACCCUGACCGAGCAAUGCCGCGUGAACGAUGAAGAUCUUCAGAUCGUAAAGUUCUGUGAUCGGGGAAGAACGGCAUGACCAGGGAAUGGGUCAUGAUUGACGGUACCUGAUUAGAAAGCCCUGGCUAACUACGUGCCAGCAGCCGCGGUAAUACGUAGGGGGCUAGCGUUGUCCGGAAUUACUGGGCGUAAAGGGCGUGUAGGCGGUCGUGCAAGUCGGUUGUGAAAGUCUAGGGCUCAACUCUAGGAUGCCGAUCGAAACUGCAUGGCUUGAGGGCAAGAGAGGGAAGCGGAAUUCCCGGUGUAGCGGUGAAGUGCGUAGAUAUCGGGAGGAACACCAGUGGCGAAGGCGGCUUCCUGGAUUGCACCUGACGCUGAGGCGCGAAAGCUGGGGGAGCGAACGGGAUUAGAUACCCCGGUAGUCCCAGCCGUAAACGAUGGAUGCUAGGUGUAGGAGGUAUCGACCCCUCCUGUGCCGCAGUUAACGCAUUAAGCAUCCCGCCUGGGGAGUACGGUCGCAAGACUGAAACUCAAAUGAAUUGACGG
RNAcentral lists this ribosomal RNA (913 nucleotides) under uncultured bacterium. Its description in RNAcentral is "bacterial SSU rRNA". It matches the Rfam family "Bacterial small subunit ribosomal RNA", at positions 8 to 916 of the family's 1533-position model. The record is from RNAcentral.